RNAcentral lists this ribosomal RNA (297 nucleotides) under uncultured bacterium. Its description in RNAcentral is "partial 16S ribosomal RNA". It matches the Rfam family "Bacterial small subunit ribosomal RNA", at positions 30 to 327 of the family's 1533-position model. The record is from RNAcentral.
AUUGAACGCUGGCGGCAUGCCUUACACAUGCAAGUCGAACGGCAGCGCGGGGCAACCUGGCGGCGAGUGGCGAACGGGUGAGUAACAUAUCGGAACAUACCCUAGAGUGGGGGAUAACGUAGCGAAAGUUACGCUAAUACCGCAUACGCACUAAGGUGGAAAGUGGGGGAUUCGCAAGAACCUCAUGCUCAUGGAGUGGCCGAUAUCUGAUUAGCUAGUUGGUGAGGUAAAGGCGUCACCAAGGCGACGAUCAGUAGCUGGUUUGAGAGACGACCAGCCACACUGGAACUGAGACAC